This 509-nucleotide ribosomal RNA is filed under the name uncultured bacterium. RNAcentral describes it as "bacterial SSU rRNA". It matches the Rfam family "Bacterial small subunit ribosomal RNA", at positions 29 to 531 of the family's 1533-position model. The record is from RNAcentral.
AGCGAACGUUUGCGGCGGGCUUAACACAUGCAAGUCGAACGAGAAUCCCUUCGGGGAGGAAAGUGGCGCACGGGUGCGUAACACGUGGAUAACCAACCCAUUGGUUUGGGACAACACCGGGAAACUGGUGCUAAUACCAGAUGUGUCGCAGCUGUCUUCAGGCGGUUGCGAGAAAGGCCCGCAAGGGUCGCCAACGGACGGGUCCGCGUCCCAUCAGCUAGUUGGUGAGGUAAUGGCUCACCAAGGCAAAGACGGGUAGCUGGUCUGAGAGGAUGAUCAGCCACACUGGAACUGAGACACGGCCCAGACUCCUACGGGAGGCAGCAGUAGGGAAUAUUGGACAAUGGGGGGAACCCGUGAUCCAGCCAUGCCGCGUGAGGGAAGAAGGUCCUCUGGAUUGUAAACCUCUUUUGGCAGGAAACAAACCUGCGCUAUACGCGCAGCUGAGGGUACCGUGCAGAAUAAAGCACCGGCGUAACUCCGUGCCAGCAGCCGCGGUAAUGUAGUCG